CAAUAGCGUAUAUUAAAGUUGUUGCAGUUAAAAAGCUCGUAGUUGGAUUUCUGGUGGGAGCGAUCGGUCUGGCGCUUAGCGCGAGUACUUGCAUCGUCUCCGGCCAUCCUUGGGGAGAGUCUGUCUGGCAUUAGGUUGUCGGGCAGAGGAUUCUCAUCGUUUACUGUGAAAAAAUUAGAGUGUUCAAAGCAGGCUUAUGCCGUUGAAUAUAUUAGCAUGGAAUAAUAAGAUAGGACUUUGGUACUAUUUUGUUGGUUUGCGCACCAAAGUAAUGAUUAAUAGGGACAGUUGGGGGUAUUCGUAUUCCGUUGUCAGAGGUGAAAUUCUUGGAUUUACGGAAGACGAACUACUGCGAAAGCAUUUACCAAGGAUGUUUUCAUUAA
Molecule: ribosomal RNA, 383 nt
Filed under: uncultured eukaryote
Lineage: Eukaryota
Description: partial 18S ribosomal RNA
Rfam family: Eukaryotic small subunit ribosomal RNA
Source: RNAcentral